CGCAAUGGGCGAAAGCCUGACGGAGCAAUACCGCGUGAGGGAUGACGGCCUUUGGGUUGUAAACCUCUUUUAUCAAGGAGGAAGUUCUGACGUGUACUUGAUGAAUAAGCAUCGGCUAACUCCGUGCCAGCAGCCGCGGUAAGACGGAGGAUGCAAGUGUUAUCCGGAAUCACUGGGCGUAAAGCGUCUGUAGGUGGUUUAAAAAGUCUGCUGUUAAAAAUUGAAGCUUAACUUCAAAGGUGCUGUAGAAACUUUUAAACUUGAGGAUGGUAGGGGUAGAGGGAAUUUCCAGUGGAGCGGUGAAAUGCGUAGAUCUUGGAAAUUAAUAGGACUCACU
Molecule: ribosomal RNA, 337 nt
Filed under: uncultured organism
Description: bacterial SSU rRNA
Rfam family: Bacterial small subunit ribosomal RNA
Source: RNAcentral